Molecule: ribosomal RNA, 475 nt
Filed under: uncultured bacterium
Lineage: Bacteria
Description: partial 16S ribosomal RNA
Rfam family: Bacterial small subunit ribosomal RNA
Source: RNAcentral
GAUGAACGCUGGCGGCGUGCUUAACACAUGCAAGUCGAACGAGGAACCUCACUUGUGUUGGGAGUAGUGGCGAACGGGUGAGUAACACGUGAGUAACCUGCCCUUGACUCUGGGAUAAGCCUGGGAAACCGGGGCUAAUACUGGAUACGACCUUCUAGCCCAUGCCCUGUUGGUGGAAAGCUUUUGUGGUUUUGGAUGGACUCGCGGCCUAUCAGCUUGUUGGUGGGGUAAUGGCCUACCAAGUCGACGCCGGGUAGCCGGCCUGAGAGGGUGACCGGCCAUACUGGGACUGAGACACGGCCCAGACUCCUACGGGAGGCAGCAGUGGGGACUACUGCACAAUGGGUGCAAGCCUGAUGCAGCGACGCGGCGUGAGGGAUGAAGGCCUUCGGGUUGCAAACCUCUUUCAGUAGGGAAGAAGCCGGCUUUUGGGUUGGUGACGGUACCUGCAGAAGAAGCGCCGGCUAACUCCGUG